RNAcentral lists this ribosomal RNA (1154 nucleotides) under Escherichia coli. RNAcentral's name for it is "partial 23S ribosomal RNA". It matches the Rfam family "Bacterial large subunit ribosomal RNA", at positions 1 to 1188 of the family's 2925-position model. Lineage: Bacteria; Pseudomonadati; Pseudomonadota; Gammaproteobacteria; Enterobacterales; Enterobacteriaceae. The record is from RNAcentral.
GGGUUGUGAGGUUAAGCGACUAAGCGUACACGGUGGAUGCCCUGGCAGUCAGAGGCGAUGAAGGACGUGCUAAUCUGCGAUAAGCGUCGGUGAGGUGAUAUGAACCGUUAUAACCGGCGAUUUCCGAAUGGGGAAACCCAGUGUGAUUCGUCACACUAUCAUUAACUGAAUCCAUAGGUUAAUGAGGCGAACCGGGGGAACUGAAACAUCUAAGUACCCCGAGGAAAAGAAAUCAACCGAGAUUCCCCCAGUAGCGGCGAGCGAACGGGGAGGAGCCCAGAGCCUGAAUCAGUGUGUGUGUUAGUGGAAGCGUCUGGAAAGGCGUGCGAUACAGGGUGACAGCCCCGUACACAAAAAUGCACAUAUUGUGAGCUCGAUGAGUAGGGCGGGACACGUGGUAUCCUGUCUGAAUAUGGGGGGACCAUCCUCCAAGGCUAAAUACUCCUGACUGACCGAUAGUGAACCAGUACCGUGAGGGAAAGGCGAAAAGAACCCCGGCGAGGGGAGUGAAAAAGAACCUGAAACCGUGUACGUACAAGCAGUGGGAGCCUCUUAAUGGGGUGACUGCGUACCUUUUGUAUAAUGGGUCAGCGACUUAUAUUCUGUAGCAAGGUUAACCGAAUAGGGGAGCCGAAGGGAAACCGAGUCUUAACUGGGCGUUAAGUUGCAGGGUAUAGACCCGAAACCCGGUGAUCUAGCCAUGGGCAGGUUGAAGGUUGGGUAACACUAACUGGAGGACCGAACCGACUAAUGUUGAAAAAUUAGCGGAUGACUUGUGGCUGGGGGUGAAAGGCCAAUCAAACCGGGAGAUAGCUGGUUCUCCCCGAAAGCUAUUUAGGUAGCGCCUCGUGAAUUCAUCUCCGGGGGUAGAGCACUGUUUCGGCAAGGGGGUCAUCCCGACUUACCAACCCGAUGCAAACUGCGAAUACCGGAGAAUGUUAUCACGGGAGACACACGGCGGGUGCUAACGUCCGUCGUGAAGAGGGAAACAACCCAGACCGCCAGCUAAGGUCCCAAAGUCAUGGUUAAGUGGGAAACGAUGUGGGAAGGCCCAGACAGCCAGGAUGUUGGCUUAGAAGCAGCCAUCAUUUAAAGAAAGCGUAAUAGCUCACUGGUCGAGUCGGCCUGCGCGGAAGAUGUAACGGGGCUAAACC